AGCAGCCGCGGUAAUUCCAGCUCCAAUAGCGUAUAUUAAAGUUGUUGCAGUUAAAAAGCUCGUAGUUGAACUUCGGGGUUUACUCAUUGGUCAGGCUUAAUUGUCUGUACUGGUGAGAUGAAUCUCUACCUUCUGAGGAACUUUCAUGCCAUUUAUUUGGUGUGGUUGGAAAUCAGGACUGUUACUUUGAAAAAUUAGAGUGUUUAAAGCAGGCUAACGUCUGAAUACAUUAGCAUGGAAUAAUGAAAUAGGACGGAUUGAUUCUAUUUCGUUGGUUUCUAGGGUCACUGUAAUGAUUAAUAGGGAUAGUUGGGGGCAUUAGUAUUCAAUUGUCAGAGGUGAAAUUCUUGGAUUUAUUGAAGACUAACUACUGCGAAAGCAUUUGCCAAGGAUGUUUUCAUUAAUCAAGAACGAAAGUUAGGGGAUCGAAGACGAUCAGAUACCGUCGUAGUCUUAACCAUAAACUAUGCCGACUAGGGAUCGGACGCAGUUAAUUUUAUAAUGACGUG
This 509-nucleotide unclassified non-coding RNA is filed under the name uncultured Entrophospora. Its description in RNAcentral is "SSU rRNA". It matches the Rfam family "Eukaryotic small subunit ribosomal RNA", at positions 569 to 1078 of the family's 1831-position model. The record is from RNAcentral. Lineage: Eukaryota; Fungi; Glomeromycota; Glomeromycetes; Entrophosporales; Entrophosporaceae.